UGAGUAUGCUUAGGCUACAGAAGAGGC
RNAcentral lists this non-coding RNA (27 nucleotides) under Mus musculus (house mouse). The record is from RNAcentral. Lineage: Eukaryota; Metazoa; Chordata; Mammalia; Rodentia; Muridae. RNAcentral also lists the same sequence under 1 other name.